UUUUAGUUGUAUCAUCUCCUCUCAAAGUAAGUUUCUACUUAUUAACUCAAUAUACUUAUAAUUUUAAAUUUAUUUUUUGUAUAGUAUGCAUGAGCAAUUUUCAUAUAAUUAUCUGUUAUUUUAAAUUAAUUACUUGUUUCUUUUUUGCAUAGACAAAUGAACACUUUCGUCAAUAACUACAAGUUGAACGAGAAGGAAAUAGUUUUCUAUAAUGAGAGGAAAAAGAACUGAAAAAUCUAAUAUGCAUAUUGACCUUGUUAUCCAUUUUUCAGAAAAAAAAUUUGUAAUCUCGUAGGUGCGUCAAGCCCCUAGAAUAAAAUAUAAGUAUAUAAGUAUAUGAAAGUAUCACUAGAAUGAUCACAGACACUAAGACAUAAGGUACACCACAUCAUUUGCAAGGCAAAAAUUUAUUCGUGUGCAACAUUUACAAUAAAUGAUUAAUUAUUCUGAUUAUUUAACAGUCGUAAUUAUAGAUUUGAAUGAAAAAGGCACAUUAUUUAUUUAAAAUUUUAUUAUUUUAGUGUUUAUGGUGUGUGAGCAAUUUUAUUAUAAUAUUGCAUAUUUGAAUGAAAAAUACAUAUUUUUUUUAAUAUUUUAUUUUUCAAUAAUUGUGGUGUUCGGAGGUUAGCUCGUGCUCCUGACUAGUUUUCUGAGGUACUUUCUACUACGUGCACACACUAAUAGAUGUACUAGUAAUUAUUUCUGUCAAUGUUUAAAUAUAUAGGAAGAAUUAUCUAGUAUUUUUAUUUUCGAUGAAAAUUUGAACCUAAGACCUCAGACUUGUUAGCCCAUUUCAUUGAUCAUAAAUCAUAAUGUCAAAAUCAAGAUGCUACAAGAUGCAUAUUAUUUGACAAUGGUUAUAAAUAUGUGCCUAUUUAAGGAAUGGUAUAUCCAUUUAUAUAAUUUGAUGAAACCAUUGAUCGUUAAUUAUUUUUUAAAAAUCUACAAGGUGAAAUUUAGCCAGAAUUUGACUUUACGGUUGAGAGUUUCUACUUUCAAGUCAUUGCUAUAUAGAACUUUUAAUAUCGUAAUAUGAUCUUCAGUUUAAUUUGAAGUAUAAUUAUUGCUUCAUUGGGGUAGAUAUUUUCUCACAUGUCUUGUACCUCUUUUGUUUGCGUAAGGAUUGAUCAUAUGACCCAAGCAGGCUAUUUAUAUUUCUCUUGCAUCUAUCCAUCAAGAUUUAUAUAGGUGAAAAAUAAGCAUUUAAUAUUUUUAUUUGUUGUUGUUAUGUUUAUUAUAAUUUUUUUUAUUUACCAAGAUAUGUUCAAAUAAAUCAAAGGCUUCCUAAAGAUUAUGUUAUAUGUAGGGCUAGUGGAUGAGGCACGAAAAAUAUGUUGCAAAUACAGAUUACACAAAAAAAUUUGACGGUCCAUUAGUCUUUCUAAAAUGGUCAAGAUUUAAGAGAAGAAAACAAACUAGACAAUGAUGAAUAAUCAAAGACGAAAAUGCUUCUUCAUCUACAAUUGAAAAAAUUAUGUUUAAUUAUUGCAAAAAUAUGUUAUUAAUUGAUGAAAGGUCAACGAUUAAUAAAGCAAAAAAUGUUGUCAUUCAAUCAUAUUGAUGCUAUCAAUUUAUCAUUAGCAUUUUUUUUAUAAUUUCUUGAAAAACAUUGAUAGCAUCGUAUGAUGAAAUAACCACAUUCUUCUGUCCCUCAAUUGUUGAAUUCUCAAGUUGAUAACAUAUUAAUUUAUAUAUAUUAAACUUAAUUUCUUCAACUGCAGAUUGAAGAAGCAUCUUCGUUUUUGAUUCCUCAUCAUCGUCUAAUUUAUUUUACUCUCUUAAAUACUUGUCCAUUUCAGGAUACUAAUGAACCAUCAAAGUUCCUUGAUGUAACUUGUUUCAGAUGUAAAUAUUUUCCGUACCUUAUCAACUUGCCUUACAUUCAACAUAGUUUACAAAAUCAUUUGAUUUACUUAAAAAUAGCUUUUUAAACAGAAAGAUUAUAAGAAAACCUAUAACACAAGCUAGAAAAAAAUGUUAGAAGAUUAUUUUUCAUCUGUGUAGAUCUUGACAAAUGGAGAUUGACUUGCACUGAUCAAAUGAUCAACUCUAAUACAAAUAAAGGAGUACAAGACAUGCAAAACAUCAAUUCAAAUGAAGCAAAAAUCAUACUUAGGUUUAAACUUAGAAAUAAAUCACAACUUUAAAAUGUUCUCUAAAUAGAAAAUGACUUGAAAAUAGAAAUCAUCAACCGUG
This 2196-nucleotide long non-coding RNA is filed under the name Capsicum annuum. RNAcentral's name for it is "long non-coding RNA (CANN_LNC019474)". Lineage: Eukaryota; Viridiplantae; Streptophyta; Magnoliopsida; Solanales; Solanaceae. The record is from RNAcentral.